Lycium ferocissimum is the source of this 789-nucleotide long non-coding RNA. RefSeq lists it as uncharacterized. Lineage: Eukaryota; Viridiplantae; Streptophyta; Magnoliopsida; Solanales; Solanaceae. The transcript has 3 exons. The record is from RefSeq and is a predicted model, not a curated record.
CUCUUAAAAAUUCUACAUAUGAAGAUGGGCCCAGGUCUCAUUCGGUUCCAUCCCAUUUUCUUUGAGUGAUUCAAAGUGUCCCUUCCUCUUCUGUUUAUUGUAGGAUUUUUUACUUGCAUACACAUGGCACCUGACACACCUGAUUGAACUUGCAAAGUUCAAAUUGUGGACAUGAGUCGCGAGCGAGAAAGCCCUGAGAAUAGAAUCAUAUUCCAAAAUCUGGUUUUGGAAGAUGAAGAGGUAAUUUCAUCGAUAGUCUGAACAAUUUCGAUAACAAUUGAACAUUGUUUUCUUCAAUCCUUCUUAGGCAUUUUAAGUGUAUAUAAGAGGUGUUCCCUACUUUGGGAACUACAUGAAUGGAUGAGGAAACUAAAAAGGCAGCAUAUGAGGUGUAGUUCUGCUAAUCAAUUCCAAAAUUUUACUAUUGUCAAGUAAAUAAUGUUUACUGAGUUAUACUCGGCAUUCAGCACAUAGACAUAGUGUUUACUUUGUUCCACUGGCAGAGGAGAAGUACCAAGGUUGCAGGAAAUGAAAUCAACAAAAAUGAAAGAAGCUCCAAUGAGAAAGAGGUUGGAUUUGGAGCUAAUUUGCAGGAAGAGACAUUUGGUUAUUGAGAUUUGAGACACAAAGUUGAUCUAUUUUCCUGUGGAAAGUAUAGAAACUGGUACUUCUGUAGAAAUUGAAGAUGAUAUGGCUUUAGUUCUUAUAGGUAUUUGGCAAUUUCUGAUGUUAAAAAGGUUGGAAUGCAAUGUGUUGUGAUAUAUAGGGAGCUUGUAAUUAUACUGUCUA